GGCCGCAGUAUUUUGACUGUGCAAAGGUAGCAUAAUCAUUAGUCUAUUAAUUGUGGACUUGUAUGAAUGGUUUGACGAGAUAAUUACUGUCUCGUUUAUAUUAGUAGAAUUUGAAUUUUAAGUUAAAAUGCUUAAAUUUUUUUAUGGGACGAGAAGACCCUAUAGAUCUUUAGUAUAUUUUUAUAUUAGUUAUUUUGUUUAUUAUUUUCUUAUUUUGAGGUUUAUUUUUAUUGGGGUGAUAUUAGGAAUUAUUUAACUCUUAUUUUUAGUUAUUACUUAUUUGUAUUUAUUUGAACUUUAUUAUUGUUUAUAAGAUAAAGAUACCUUAGGGAUAACAGCGUUAUUUUUCUUGAGAGUUCAUAUCGACAGGAGAGAUUGCGACCUCGAUGUUGGAUUAAGAUUAUUAUUAGGUGUAGGUGCUUAAUUAAUAGGUCUGUUCGACCUUUUAAAUCUUACAUGAUCUGAGUUCAAACCGG
This 476-nucleotide ribosomal RNA is filed under the name Cladomorphus phyllinus. RNAcentral's name for it is "partial large subunit ribosomal RNA". It matches the Rfam family "Bacterial large subunit ribosomal RNA", at positions 1929 to 2619 of the family's 2925-position model. The record is from RNAcentral. Lineage: Eukaryota; Metazoa; Arthropoda; Insecta; Phasmatodea; Phasmatidae.